CCUACGGGAGGCAGCAGUAAGGAAUCUUCCGCAAUGGGCGAAAGCCUGACGGAGCAACGCCACGUGGGCGAUGAAGGCCUUCGGGUCGUAAAGCCCUUUUCUGUGGGACGAUAAUGACGGUACCACAGGAAUAAGCCACGGCUAACUCCGUGCCAGCAGCCGCGGUAAUACGGAGGGUGCGAGCGUUGUUCGGAAUUAUUGGGCGUAAAGCGCGUGUAGGCGGUUUGUUAAGUCUGAUGUGAAAGCCCCGGGCUCAACCUGGGAAGUGCAUUGGAUACUGGCAGACUUGAGUACGGGAGAGGAGAGUGGAAUUCCCAGUGUAGGAGUAAAAUCCGUAGAUAUUGGGAGGAACACCGGUGGCGAAGGCGGCUCUCUGGACCGAUACUGACGCUGAGACGCGAAAGCGUGGGGAGCAAACAGGAUUAGAUCCCCGGGUAGU
Molecule: ribosomal RNA, 439 nt
Filed under: uncultured Geobacteraceae bacterium
Lineage: Bacteria; Pseudomonadati; Thermodesulfobacteriota; Desulfuromonadia; Geobacterales; Geobacteraceae
Description: partial 16S ribosomal RNA
Rfam family: Bacterial small subunit ribosomal RNA
Source: RNAcentral